RNAcentral lists this non-coding RNA (30 nucleotides) under Mus musculus (house mouse). Lineage: Eukaryota; Metazoa; Chordata; Mammalia; Rodentia; Muridae. The record is from RNAcentral.
UCCUAAAGCAGCCGUGUUGGCAGGUUCUUG